This 23-nucleotide non-coding RNA is filed under the name Cricetulus griseus (Chinese hamster). Lineage: Eukaryota; Metazoa; Chordata; Mammalia; Rodentia; Cricetidae. The record is from RNAcentral.
CUAAGUCUGAUUUGCAUAAGGGC